GAACGGAAGGAGUACAUGAUAAGACAUCCUUAAAUUCAGCAUUCAAGGUCGUAAUAAUAUCCUGAUACUACAGAUAUGCUGACAGCAGAGCACGGUGUCCGUACCAAGUGGAACCAAACUUGUAGGCAAGUAAACCUGACACCAUACCAAUAUGUAAAUAAGAAGCAAAAGCGCAAGGAAAACAUAGCUCACACAAAGGACCGAGAAUUAGUGGCAUAAAUUACCAAAAGCAACCAGUUGUCCUAUAGUUCAAAUCAAAUUCUAAAGCGGAGGCUGAAUAUGGUAGAGACCCGUCAUCUUUUUAUUUUAAAACUUGUAGCGCCAGGAAUUACUCAGGGACAUUGUACACUGCAACAAUUUAAUGUUUGCUUGUACAUCACCGAGGACAUAUAGCUCCAUCUGUAAAUUCAGUAAAUUUGUACAAAUUCAGUAUAUUGACAAGGAUCAAUAUGUAGCUGAGCACCCUCUCAUAUUGAUCAUUGUCUACCUAUACACGGGGCAAAUUAGUUACCCACACACAUAUACACACACACAUGGGGAUCUAGAAGAAGAAAAAUCGGAUCAUCUAUAGGUGUUAUAUCUUUGCAGAAGGUAAAACCUUAGAGGUACCCUAAGUAAAAUUCAAUGUGUGUAAACUGAUCUGACAAGCGAAACUUUAAUUCAACAAACAUGGCAAUCACUAAUUCCGAUAAGAAGACAUGCUUGAUUAUAUGAUCUAAACAAUAGCCUUGUUAUAUUACCUGACGAUAUAGGGAUGACUGAAACUUAAAGUCCAUAAAUUAAGAAGUAAUAGGUCACAGGUUGCAGAAGAGGACCACGCUUGAAUUUCCAAAUGUUUAUCAAAUGAUCAAAAAGUCCAGUUUGAGACACUAUCAUCUGCAGCAGGGAAAUAUAGUAACAUCUGGGCAGUAUAGUUAGAAGCAAAAAUAAUGCAACUAAGCAAUCAUGAUGGAAAAGGUAAAACUAAUACAAACAGAGUACUACAGAGAACUACCAAUAUCACUGAUAAGUACUGAAUCCAACACACACAAAAAUCAACACUCUUAGCUGGAUGCUCCAGAUCUCAGGCCCACCUCACCUACCUCCUUCUUAGCUGUGUAGUUGCAGUGCUGACCAAGCAGCAUGACACUGCCAACGCGCGCCGGUGAUCAGCAUCAGUGUGAACUCGCCAUCAACGAAAUGAUCUUUCCCCUGUUCUAUUAGCGGGAGGUAUACUUCUCCAACACUGAACAUUCGGACUUCUCAGACAAAAUAUUUGGACACACAUG
Molecule: long non-coding RNA, 1268 nt
Filed under: Triticum aestivum (bread wheat)
Lineage: Eukaryota; Viridiplantae; Streptophyta; Magnoliopsida; Poales; Poaceae
Description: long non-coding RNA (TAES_LNC010565)
Source: RNAcentral